RNAcentral lists this ribosomal RNA (641 nucleotides) under uncultured Pseudomonadota bacterium. Its description in RNAcentral is "bacterial SSU rRNA". It matches the Rfam family "Bacterial small subunit ribosomal RNA", at positions 34 to 649 of the family's 1533-position model. The record is from RNAcentral. Lineage: Bacteria; Pseudomonadati; Pseudomonadota.
CGUUAGCGGCGGGCUUAACACAUGCAAGUCGAGCGAGAAAGUCUCCUUCGGGAGGCGAGUAAAGCGGCGCACGGGUGAGUAACACGUGGGUAACCAACCCUUUGGCGCGGGACAACAUCCCGAAAGGGGUGCUAAUACCGCAUGAGUCGACGAGGUCCUCGGGCCUUGUCGGGAAACGGUGGCCUCUGUUUCAUGCUAUCGCCAGAGGACGGGCCCGCGGUCCAUCAGCUUGUUGGUGAGGUAAUGGCUCACCAAGGCAGAGACGGAUAGCUGGUCUGAGAGGAUGAUCAGCCACACUGGGACUGAGACACGGCCCAGACUCCUACGGGAGGCAGCAGUGGGGAAUAUUGGACAAUGGGCGAAAGCCUGAUCCAGCCACGCCGCGUGUGUGAUGAAGGCCCUCGGGUCGUAAAGCACUGUGGAGGGGAACGUACAAGCAGACGGUUAAUACCCGGCUGCCCUGACGGUACCCCUUUAGCAAGCACCGGCUAACUCCGUGCCAGCAGCCGCGGUAAUACGGAGGGUGCAAACGUUGCUCGGAAUCAUUGGGCGUAAAGCGCGUGUAGGCGGCAUGUUAAGUCGAGUGUGAAAGCCCUGGGCUCAACCCAGGAAGUGCGCUCGAAACUGGCACGCUAGAGUAC